Molecule: ribosomal RNA, 899 nt
Filed under: Scytonema sp. BOT2
Lineage: Bacteria; Bacillati; Cyanobacteriota; Cyanophyceae; Nostocales; Scytonemataceae
Description: bacterial SSU rRNA
Rfam family: Bacterial small subunit ribosomal RNA
Source: RNAcentral
UACAAGUUCGAAACGGGAACUGCUUUCGGGAGUUUAGUGGGCGGACGGGUGAGUAACGCGCUGUUGUAAUCUGGCUUCAGGUUCGGGAUAACAGUUGGUAAACGGCUGCUAAUACCGGAUAUGCCUAAAGGUGAAAGAUUAAUUGCCUGAAGAUGAGCUCGCGUCCGAUUAGCUAGUUGGUGUGGUAAGAGCGCACCAAGGCGACGAUCGGUAGCUGGUCUGAGAGGACGAUCAGCCACACUGGGACUGAGACACGGCCCAGACUCCUACGGGAGGCAGCAGUGGGGAAUUUUCCGCAAUGGGCGAAAGCCUGACGGAGCAAUACCGCGUGAGGGAGGAAGGCUCUUGGGUUGUAAACCUCUUUUCUUAGGGAAGAAAUUUGACGGUACCUAAGGAAUCAGCAUCGGCUAACUCCGUGCCAGCAGCCGCGGUAAUACGGAGGAUGCAAGCGUUAUCCGGAAUGAUUGGGCGUAAAGCGUUCGUAGGUGGCUGUCCAAGUCUGCUGUUAAAGAGUCUGGCUUAACCAGAUAAAGGCAGUGGAAACUGGAGAGCUAGAGAGUGGUAGGGGUAGAGGGAAUUCCCAGUGUAGCGGUGAAAUGCGUAGAGAUUGGGAAGAACACCGGUGGCGAAAGCGCUCUACUGGACCAUAACUGACACUGAGGGACGAAAGCUAGGGGAGCGAAUGGGAUUAGAUACCCCAGUAGUCCUAGCCGUAAACGAUGGAUACUAGGCGUUGCUUGUAUCGACCCAGCAGUGCCGUAGCCAACGCGUUAAGUAUCCCGCCUGGGGAGUACGCACGCCAGUGUGAAACUCAAAGAAUUGACGGGGGCCCGCACAAGCGGUGGAGUAUGUGGUUUAAUUCCAUGCACCCGAAAAACUUUCCAGGGUUUGAAUUUCCG